AUUGAACGCUGGCGGCAGGCCUAACACAUGCAAGUCGAGCGGUAGCACAGAGAGCUUGCUCUCGGGUGACGAGCGGCGGACGGGUGAGUAAUGUCUGGGAAACUGCCUGAUGGAGGGGGAUAACUACUGGAAACGGUAGCUAAUACCGCAUAAUGUCGCAAGACCAAAGUGGGGGACCUUCGGGCCUCAUGCCAUCAGAUGUGCCCAGAUGGGAUUAGCUAGUAGGUGGGGUAACGGCUCACCUAGGCGACGAUCCCUAGCUGGUCUGAGAGGAUGACCAGCCACACUGGAACUGAGACACGGUCCAGACUCCUACGGGAGGCAGCAGUGGGGAAUAUUGCACAAUGGGCGCAAGCCUGAUGCAGCCAUGCCGCGUGUGUGAAGAAGGCCUUCGGGUUGUAAAGCACUUUCAGCGGGGAGGAAGGCGGUGAGGUUAAUAACCUCAUCGAUUGACGUUACCCGCAGAAGAAGCACCGGCUAACUCCGUGCCAGCAGCCGCGGUAAUACGGAGGGUGCAAGCGUUAAUCGGAAUUACUGGGCGUAAAGCGCACGCAGGCGGUCUGUCAAGUCGGAUGUGAAAUCCCCGGGCUCAACCUGGGAACUGCAUUCGAAACUGGCAGGCUAGAGUCUUGUAGAGGGGGGUAGAAUUCCAGGUGUAGCGGUGAAAUGCGUAGAGAUCUGGAGGAAUACCGGUGGCGAAGGCGGCCCCCUGGACAAAGACUGACGCUCAGGUGCGAAAGCGUGGGGAGCAAACAGGAUUAGAUACCCUGGUAGUCCACGCCGUAAACGAUGUCGAUUUGGAGGUUGUGCCCUUGAGGCGUGGCUUCCGGAGCUAACGCGUUAAAUCGACCGCCUGGGGAGUACGGCCGCAAGGUUAAAACUCAAAUGAAUUGACGGGGGCCCGCACAAGCGGUGGAGCAUGUGGUUUAAUUCGAUGCAACGCGAAGAACCUUACCUGGUCUUGACAUCCACAGAACUUUCCAGAGAUGGAUUGGUGCCUUCGGGAACUGUGAGACAGGUGCUGCAUGGCUGUCGUCAGCUCGUGUUGUGAAAUGUUGGGUUAAGUCCCGCAACGAGCGCAACCCUUAUCCUUUGUUGCCAGCGGUUCGGCCGGGAACUCAAAGGAGACUGCCAGUGAUAAACUGGAGGAAGGUGGGGAUGACGUCAAGUCAUCAUGGCCCUUACGACCAGGGCUACACACGUGCUACAAUGGCAUAUACAAAGAGAAGCGACCUCGCGAGAGCAAGCGGACCUCAUAAAGUAUGUCGUAGUCCGGAUUGGAGUCUGCAACUCGACUCCAUGAAGUCGGAAUCGCUAGUAAUCGUAGAUCAGAAUGCUACGGUGAAUACGUUCCCGGGCCU
This 1361-nucleotide ribosomal RNA is filed under the name uncultured bacterium. RNAcentral describes it as "bacterial SSU rRNA". It matches the Rfam family "Bacterial small subunit ribosomal RNA", at positions 28 to 1381 of the family's 1533-position model. The record is from RNAcentral.